GUGCCCGGAGAGGACACAGGCUUGCGGAGCCUGGAGCCCGGGUUCAAAUCCCGGCGGGCCCG
The sequence is a transfer RNA, 62 nucleotides long. It matches the Rfam family "tRNA". Rfam says of the family: Transfer RNA (tRNA) molecules are approximately 80 nucleotides in length. Their secondary structure includes four short double-helical elements and three loops (D, anti-codon, and T loops). Further hydrogen bonds mediate the characteristic L-shaped molecular structure. tRNAs have two regions of fundamental functional importance: the anti-codon, which is responsible for specific mRNA codon recognition, and the 3' end, to which the tRNAs corresponding amino acid is attached (by aminoacyl-tRNA synthetases). tRNAs cope with the degeneracy of the genetic code in two manners: having more than one tRNA (with a specific anti-codon) for a particular amino acid; and 'wobble' base-pairing, i.e. permitting non-standard base-pairing at the 3rd anti-codon position. The record is from Rfam.